UACGUAGGGUCCAAGCGUUAUCCGGAAUCACUGGGCGUAAAGCGUGCGUAGGUGGAUGUUUAAGUGUGAUGUUAAAUCGUGUGGCUCAACCAUAUCGAUGUGUCGCAUACUGGGCAUCUAGAGGACAGCAGAGGCAAGUGGAAUUACGAGUGUAGCGGUAAAAUGCGUAGAUAUUCGUAGGAACACCAAUGGCGAAGGCAGCUUGCUGGGCUACUCCUGACACUGAGGUACGAAAGCGUGGGGAGCGAACAGG
Molecule: ribosomal RNA, 253 nt
Filed under: uncultured bacterium
Lineage: Bacteria
Description: partial 16S ribosomal RNA
Rfam family: Bacterial small subunit ribosomal RNA
Source: RNAcentral